UAACUACUCCCUCUGUUCUAAAUUACUCGUCUCAGAAAUGAAUGUAUCUAGAACUAAAAUACAUCUAUAUACAUCCAUACCUACGACAAGUAAUUCGGAACGGAGGGAGUACUUG
Triticum urartu is the source of this 115-nucleotide non-coding RNA. NCBI's taxonomy places the organism in Eukaryota, Viridiplantae, Streptophyta, Magnoliopsida, Poales, Poaceae. The record is from Rfam.